AUGGAGUCUGUGCUCAGCUGGGUUUUCCUUGUCACUAUUUUAAAAGGUGUCCAGGGUGAGGUGCAGCUGGUGGAGUCUGGGGGAGACCUGGUGAAGCCUGGGGGUUCCCUGAGACUCUCAUGUGUGACUUCUGGAUUCACUUUCAGUAGCUAUUGGAUGAGCUGUGUCCGCCAGGCUCCAGGGAAGGAGCUGCAGUGGGUCGCGUACAUUAACAGUGGUGGAAGUAGCACAUGGUACACAGACGCUGUGAAGGGUCGAUUCACCAUCUCCAGAGACAACGCCAAGAACACGCUGUAUCUGCAGAUGAACAACCUGAGAGCCGAAGACACGGCCGUGUAUUACUGUGCGAGGGACACAAGGAACACCAUGGUUCCUCCCAGUUUAAUUAUUGUGGACAUUGCUGCUGGGAACAUUGGGGUGCAGGUGACCCUUCGUUUAAUAACAUCUGUGUCUCUGAAGCUAAUACCCAGAAUAGCAAUGGCUGGGUCAUAG
Canis lupus familiaris (dog) is the source of this 492-nucleotide non-coding RNA. NCBI's taxonomy places the organism in Eukaryota, Metazoa, Chordata, Mammalia, Carnivora, Canidae. The record is from the annotation of a RefSeq genome assembly.